CCUACGGACGGCAGCAGUGAGGAAUAUUGGUCAAUGGGCGCGAGCCUGAACCAGCCAAGUAGCGUGAAGGAUGACUGCCCUACGGGUUGUAAACUUCUGUUAUAAAGGAAUAAAGUGAGGCACGUGUGCCUUGUUGUAUGUACGUUAUGAAUAAGGAUCGGCUAACUCCGUGCCAGCAGCCGCGGUAAUACGGAGGAACCGAGCGUUAUCCGGCUUUAUUGGGGUUAAAGGGAGCGUAGAUGGGUUGGUAAGUCAGUUGUGAAAGUUUGCGGCUCAACCGUAAAAUUGCACUUGAUACGGGCAGUCUUGAGUACAGUUGAGGUAGGCUGAUUUCGUGGUGUAGCUGU
This 347-nucleotide ribosomal RNA is filed under the name uncultured bacterium. RNAcentral's name for it is "partial 16S ribosomal RNA". It matches the Rfam family "Bacterial small subunit ribosomal RNA", at positions 338 to 682 of the family's 1533-position model. The record is from RNAcentral.